AUGAGGCAGAAGGAGGUCAGCAAGGUGGGUCUGCCCACAGGCAGUAUGCAGCUGCGACCUGGAUACUGGAUUACCAGAAUGGAUGCCAUGGCAGUUCAGACCAGCUGCUGGGAUAUGCCACUGGCUUGUGACAGAGUUACAGUGAGAUUUUUUAUGACAGUGACAGCUGAAGCUUAGCCUUGAGAGAAAGAGUAAAAGCUGAACUACAAAGGUGAGUUUUGUUCACUGCCAUAGAAUCAGUUAAUGUUGGCAUUUUAAAGUAACUGUUAAUAUAAUGAAGAAAU
Molecule: long non-coding RNA, 284 nt
Filed under: Cyanistes caeruleus (blue tit)
Lineage: Eukaryota; Metazoa; Chordata; Aves; Passeriformes; Paridae
Description: lncRNA (ENSCCEG00000012374.1)
Source: RNAcentral